AACGCGACCCCAGGUCAGGCGGGGCUACCCGCUGAGUUUAAGCAUAUCAAUAAGCGGAG
RNAcentral lists this ribosomal RNA (59 nucleotides) under Ficus pseudojaca. RNAcentral's name for it is "partial 28S ribosomal RNA". Lineage: Eukaryota; Viridiplantae; Streptophyta; Magnoliopsida; Rosales; Moraceae. The record is from RNAcentral.